GAUGAACGCUGGCGGCGUGCCUAAUACAUGCAAGUCGAGCGAACAGACGAGGAGCUUGCUCCUCUGACGUUAGCGGCGGACGGGUGAGUAACACGUGGAUAACCUACCUAUAAGACUGGGAUAACUUCGGGAAACCGGAGCUAAUACCGGAUAAUAUAUUGAACCGCAUGGUUCAAUAGUGAAAGACGGUUUUGCUGUCACUUAUAGAUGGAUCCGCGCCGCAUUAGCUAGUUGGUAAGGUAACGGCUUACCAAGGCAACGAUGCGUAGCCGACCUGAGAGGGGGAUGGGCCACCUGGGAACGGAGACACGGCCACGCCCCCAAGGGGGGGCAGCAGAGGGGAAUUUUCCGCAGGGGGCGAAAGCCUCACGGAGCCACCCCGGGGGGGUGAAGAAGGUCUUCGGAUCGUAAAACUUUUUUUUUGGGAAAAAAAAAAUGUGUAAGUAACUAUGCCCCUCUUGACGGUCCCAAAACAAAAAGCCACGGCUAACUACGU
This 496-nucleotide ribosomal RNA is filed under the name uncultured bacterium. Its description in RNAcentral is "partial 16S ribosomal RNA". It matches the Rfam family "Bacterial small subunit ribosomal RNA", at positions 28 to 506 of the family's 1533-position model. The record is from RNAcentral.